RNAcentral lists this ribosomal RNA (252 nucleotides) under uncultured bacterium. RNAcentral describes it as "partial 16S ribosomal RNA". It matches the Rfam family "Bacterial small subunit ribosomal RNA", at positions 524 to 776 of the family's 1533-position model. The record is from RNAcentral.
UACGUAGGUGGCAAGCGUUAUCCGGAAUUACUGGGCGUAAAGGGUGCGUAGGUGGUUUCUUAAGUCAGAGGUGAAAGGCUACGGCUCAACCGUAGUAAGCCUUUGAAACUGGGAAACUUGAGUGCAGGAGAGGAGAGUGGAAUUCCUAGUGUAGCGGUGAAAUGCGUAGAUAUUAGGAGGAACACCAGUUGCGAAGGCGGCUCUCUGGACUGUAACUGACACUGAGGCACGAAAGCGUGGGGAGCAAACAGG